UACGUAGGGUGCGAGCGUUACUCGGAAUUACUGGGCGUAAAGCGCACGUAGGCGGGUUUGUAAGUAGGGGGUGAAAUCCCAGAGCUCAACUCUGGAACUGCCUUCUAAACUGCAAGCCUGGAGGUCAGGAGAGGCGAGUGGAAUACCGAGUGUAGAGGUGAAAUUCGUAGAUAUUCGGAAGAACACCAGUGGCGAAGGCGACUCGCUGGACAGACAUUGACGCUGAGGUGCGAAAGCGUGGGGAGCAAACAGG
Molecule: ribosomal RNA, 253 nt
Filed under: uncultured bacterium
Lineage: Bacteria
Description: partial 16S ribosomal RNA
Rfam family: Bacterial small subunit ribosomal RNA
Source: RNAcentral